RNAcentral lists this long non-coding RNA (307 nucleotides) under Panax ginseng (ginseng). RNAcentral's name for it is "long non-coding RNA (PGIN_LNC018919)". Lineage: Eukaryota; Viridiplantae; Streptophyta; Magnoliopsida; Apiales; Araliaceae. The record is from RNAcentral.
UAUAGGUAGUGCUUGUAAAUAUACUCAGCAAGUGGAUGAGCACAACCCUGUCUUAUGAUGACACGAGGUUGUAUGUUAUUAGACAUCUUGUAUGAUAGUGGCAAAACACCCUUCCAAGUUAAAUUCACCUCACCCUCAACAUCUAUAGACCACCGUUCUAUUCCUUUGUUAUCCCCCGCUCGACCCAGCUACACCUUUAUUACCUGAAAGGAAUUGUGAAGCAAAAGGGUGAGCACAACUAGCUCAGUAAAGAAUAUCAUGACUAAAGAUAAAUAAAUUAUCAAUAGCCUUCAACAGUAAUAAAUCA